GUAAACUCUAAAGGGUUCCCAGUGCUUUGGCAGCCUGGACAACAUCUACAUUUCACUGCUCUCAAAAGAGAUGAAGAAAAAAGGAAAAGUAGCUCGGAUUUCUUGUCAGAAAGUAAUACCAUUUCCUUACCAUCGUUCCAGGAGAAACUGAGGGGGGAAAAUUUCCAUUUCCGAGUGAUUUCAAUACCUGAUAUUCCAAAACAACAAAAAAUGUUAGAAAAGGCACUUGCUUUUAUGGGAGGAGAAAGGCUGUCCUUGCAAAUAAAGCACAGUGUUUUCAUCCUGCACUACAAUGCAGCUCCCCACAGAAAGAUCUGGAGUGCCUUGUGUGAGCACAAACAGAUGUUCCAUAGCAGCACAGCACAGGUGAGUGAAUAU
This 378-nucleotide long non-coding RNA is filed under the name Cyanistes caeruleus (blue tit). Its description in RNAcentral is "lncRNA (ENSCCEG00000014858.1)". The record is from RNAcentral. Lineage: Eukaryota; Metazoa; Chordata; Aves; Passeriformes; Paridae.